RNAcentral lists this transfer RNA (71 nucleotides) under Millerozyma farinosa. RNAcentral describes it as "transfer RNA-His". It matches the Rfam family "tRNA". From Rfam's summary of the family: Transfer RNA (tRNA) molecules are approximately 80 nucleotides in length. Their secondary structure includes four short double-helical elements and three loops (D, anti-codon, and T loops). Further hydrogen bonds mediate the characteristic L-shaped molecular structure. tRNAs have two regions of fundamental functional importance: the anti-codon, which is responsible for specific mRNA codon recognition, and the 3' end, to which the tRNAs corresponding amino acid is attached (by aminoacyl-tRNA synthetases). tRNAs cope with the degeneracy of the genetic code in two manners: having more than one tRNA (with a specific anti-codon) for a particular amino acid; and 'wobble' base-pairing, i.e. permitting non-standard base-pairing at the 3rd anti-codon position. The record is from RNAcentral. Lineage: Eukaryota; Fungi; Ascomycota; Pichiomycetes; Serinales; Debaryomycetaceae.
GUAGCUAUAGUUUAAUGGUAAAACAUUCGUAUGUGGAACGAAUUAUCUGAGUUCAAUUCUCAGUUGUUACC